RNAcentral lists this ribosomal RNA (254 nucleotides) under uncultured bacterium. Its description in RNAcentral is "partial 16S ribosomal RNA". It matches the Rfam family "Bacterial small subunit ribosomal RNA", at positions 524 to 776 of the family's 1533-position model. The record is from RNAcentral.
UACGGGGGGAGCAAGCGUUGUUCGGAUUUACUGGGCUUAAAGGGCGCGUAGGCGGCCAGCACAAGUCAGUUGUGAAAUCUCCGAGCUUAACUCGGAACGGUCAACUGAUACUGUGCGGCUAGAGUGCGGAAGGGGCAACUGGAAUUCUUGGUGUAGCGGUGAAAUUCGUAGAUAUCGGGAUGAACACCAGUGGCGAAGGCGGCGACCUGGACAGAUAUUGACGCUGAGGUGCGAAAGCGUGGGGAGCAAACAGG